Molecule: ribosomal RNA, 153 nt
Filed under: uncultured Pseudomonas sp.
Lineage: Bacteria; Pseudomonadati; Pseudomonadota; Gammaproteobacteria; Pseudomonadales; Pseudomonadaceae
Description: partial 16S ribosomal RNA
Rfam family: Bacterial small subunit ribosomal RNA
Source: RNAcentral
GCCUACGGGAGGCAGCAGUGGGGAAUAUUGGACAAUGGGCGAAAGCCUGAUCCAGCCAUGCCGCGUGUGUGAAGAAGGUCUUCGGAUUGUAAAGCACUUUAAGUUGGGAGGAAGGGCAGUAACGUAAUACUCUUACGUGAGGCCUCCCGACCG